UGCCACGGACAAAAGUUCACUGGAAAGUGACGCCGUAGAGGGUGAUAGCCCCGUUUACGUCCACCGGCACUAUAAUUUUAUUCCAAAGAGUCGGGUUGUUUGGGAAUGCAGCUCAAAGUGGGUGGUAAAUUCCAUCUAAAGCUAAAUAUUGACGAGAGACCGAUAGCGAACAAGUACAGUGAUGGAAAGAUGAAAAGAACUUUGAAAAGAGAGUGAAACAGUACGUGAAAUUGUUGAAAGGGAAGGGGAG
RNAcentral lists this ribosomal RNA (250 nucleotides) under Metschnikowia lochheadii. RNAcentral's name for it is "partial large subunit ribosomal RNA". It matches the Rfam family "Eukaryotic large subunit ribosomal RNA", at positions 171 to 424 of the family's 3401-position model. Lineage: Eukaryota; Fungi; Ascomycota; Pichiomycetes; Serinales; Metschnikowiaceae. The record is from RNAcentral.